CAGUUAGUUGGCGGGGUAAUGGCCCACCAAGACGAUGAUCGGUAUCCGGCCUGAGAGGGCGCACGGACACACUGGAACUGAAACACGGUCCAGACUCCUACGGGAGGCAGCAGUGGGGAAUUUUGCGCAAUGGGGGAAACCCUGACGCAGCAACGCCGCGUGGAGGAUGAAAUAUCUUGGUAUGUAAACUCCUUUCGAUGGGGAAGAUUAUGACGGUACCCAUAGAAGAAGCCCCGGCUAACUUCGUGCCAGCAGCCGCGGUAAUACGAGGGGGGCAAGCGUUGUUCGGAUUUAUUGGGCGUAAAGGGUGCGUAGGCGGUUUGGCAAGUCCGAUGUGAAAUCUAUGGGCUCAACCCAUAGUCUGCAUCAGAAACUGCCGGGCUUGAGUAUGGGAGAGGUGAGUGGAAUUUCCGGUGUAGC
RNAcentral lists this ribosomal RNA (420 nucleotides) under uncultured Acidobacteriota bacterium. RNAcentral describes it as "SSU rRNA". It matches the Rfam family "Bacterial small subunit ribosomal RNA", at positions 242 to 679 of the family's 1533-position model. The record is from RNAcentral. Lineage: Bacteria; Pseudomonadati; Acidobacteriota.